Paramuricea clavata is the source of this 235-nucleotide non-coding RNA. Lineage: Eukaryota; Metazoa; Cnidaria; Anthozoa; Malacalcyonacea; Plexauridae. The record is from the annotation of a GenBank genome assembly.
CUUUGUUAAAGCCAUGUUGUUCAAAUUUCUGAUUGUUUUACACAGUUUCGUGUUACUGGCCAGUGCAAAAGAAUGUAAAUCUGGUCAGAACUGUGAGUUAAGAUGUUGUACCAUACCUGCGGGUGAUGUACUCUGUCGUGAGAGAUGUUUGGGGUUAUCAUGUGAACUUGAUGUACAUUGUGAUGGCGACUGCUGUGUAAACUCAACGUGUAGCAGUUGUCUUUUGAAAAGGUUU